Molecule: ribosomal RNA, 496 nt
Filed under: uncultured bacterium
Lineage: Bacteria
Description: partial 16S ribosomal RNA
Rfam family: Bacterial small subunit ribosomal RNA
Source: RNAcentral
GCUGAACGCUAGCGGCAGGCCUAAUACAUGCAAGCUGAGGGGUAGAAGAGGCUUGCAUCUUUGAGACCGGCGCACGGGUGCGUAACGCGUAUGCAACCUACCUUCAUCUGGGGGAUAGCCCGGAGAUAUUCGGAUUAAUACCGCAUACAAUCACAGGAUGGCAUUAUCAAAUGAUCAAACAUGUAUGUGAUGGAGAUGGGAAUGCGUGUCAUUAGCUAGUUGGCGGGGUAACGGCCCACCAAGGCGACGAUGACUAGGAGCUAUGAGAUGAUGGCCCCCCACACUGGUACUGAGACACGGACCAGACUCCUACGGGAGGCAGAAGUAAGGAAGAUUGGUCAAGGGAGGCAACUCUGAACCAGCCAGGCCGCGUGCAGGAAGACUGCCCUAUGGGUUGUAAACUGCUUUUAUUCCGGAAUAAACCUUAUUACGUGUAAUAAGCUGGAUGUACCGAAGGAAUAAGGAUCGGCUAACUCCGUGCCAGCCGCCGCAGUAA